GGCGGCGUGCCUAAUACAUGCAAGUGGGACGCAAGGAAACACACUGUGCUUGCACACCGUGUUUUCUUGAGUCGCGAACGGGUGAGUAACGCGUAGGUAACCUGCCUAUUAGCGGGGGAUAACUAUUGGAAACGAUAGCUAAUACCGCAUAAUAUUAAUUAUUGCAUGAUAAUUGAUUGAAAGAUGCAAGCGCAUCACUAGUAGAUGGACCUGCGUUGUAUUAGCUAGUUGGUAAGGUAAGAGCUUACCAAGGCGACGAUACAUAGCCGACCUGAGAGGGUGAUCGGCCACACUGGGACUGAGACACGGCCCAGACUCCUACGGGAGGCAGCAGUAGGGAAUCUUCGGCAAUGGACGAAAGUCUGACCGAGCAACGCCGCGUGAGUGAAGAAGGUUUUCGGAU
RNAcentral lists this ribosomal RNA (403 nucleotides) under Streptococcus mutans. RNAcentral describes it as "bacterial SSU rRNA". It matches the Rfam family "Bacterial small subunit ribosomal RNA", at positions 38 to 423 of the family's 1533-position model. The record is from RNAcentral. Lineage: Bacteria; Bacillati; Bacillota; Bacilli; Lactobacillales; Streptococcaceae.